RNAcentral lists this ribosomal RNA (64 nucleotides) under Rickettsia sp. 116 TUN. RNAcentral's name for it is "partial 23S ribosomal RNA". Lineage: Bacteria; Pseudomonadati; Pseudomonadota; Alphaproteobacteria; Rickettsiales; Rickettsiaceae. The record is from RNAcentral.
CGGGUGUGGAAGCACAGUAAUGUGUGUAGCUAACCGAUACUAAUAGCUCGAUUGAUUUACUUUG